UGGGGAAUCUUGGACAAUGGGCGCAAGCCUGAUCCAGCCAUGCCGCGUGAGUGAAGAAGGCCUUCGGGUUGUAAAGCUCUUUUACCAGGGACGAUAAUGACGGUACCUGGAGAAUAAGCCCCGGCUAAUUUCGUGCCAGCAGCCGCGGUAAUACGAAAGGGGCUAGCGUUGUUCGGAAUUACUGGGCGUAAAGCGCACGUAGGCGGCCUUGUAAGAUGGGGGUGAAAUCCCUGGGCUCAACCCAGGAACUGCCUUCAUGACUGCAAAGCUUGAGGAUGUGAGAGGUUGGCGGAAUUCCGAGUGUAGAGGUGAAAUUCGUAGAUAUUCGGAAGAACACCAGUGGCGAAGGCGGCCAACUGGCACAUUUCUGACGCUGAGGUGCGAAAGCGUGGGGAGCAAACAGGAUUAGAUACCCAAGUAGUCCCUGAGCGGGCUGGCAAGGCGCAU
This 447-nucleotide ribosomal RNA is filed under the name uncultured bacterium. Its description in RNAcentral is "bacterial SSU rRNA". It matches the Rfam family "Bacterial small subunit ribosomal RNA", at positions 355 to 825 of the family's 1533-position model. The record is from RNAcentral.